UGCCCUGUACACACGGAUAACAUACCGAAAGGUAUGCUAAUACGGGAUAACAUAAGAAAUUCGCAUGUUUUUCUUAUCAAAGCUCCGGCGGUACAGGAUGGACCCGCGUCUGAUUAGCUAGUUGGUGAGGUAACGGCUCACCAAGGCGACGAUCAGUAGCCGACCUGAGAGGGUGAUCGGCCACAUUGGAACUGAGACACGGUCCAAACUCCUACGGGAGGCAGCAGUGGGGAAUAUUGCACAAUGGGCGAAAGCCUGAUGCAGCAACGCCGCGUGAGCGAUGAAGGCCUUCGGGUCGUAAAGCUCUGUCCUCAAGGAAGAUAAUGACGGUACUUGAGGAGGAAGCCCCGGCUAACUACGUGCCAGCAGCCGCGGUAAUACGUAGGGGGCUAGCGUUAUCCGGAUUUACUGGGCGUAAAGGGUGCGUAGGCGGUCUUUUAAGUCAGGAGUGAAAGGCUACGGCUCAACCGUAGUAAGCUCUUGAAACUGGAGGACUUGAGUGCAGGAGAGGAGAGUGGAAUUCCUAGUGUAGCGGUGAAAUGCGUAGAUAUUAGGAGGAACACCAGUAGCGAAGGCGGCUCUCUGGACUGUAACUGACGCUGAGGCACGAAAGCGUGGGGAGCAAACAGGAUUAGAUACCCUGGUAGUCCACGCCGUAAACGAUGAGUACUAGCUGUCGGAGGUUACCCCCUUCGGUGGCGCAG
Molecule: ribosomal RNA, 704 nt
Filed under: uncultured bacterium
Lineage: Bacteria
Description: bacterial SSU rRNA
Rfam family: Bacterial small subunit ribosomal RNA
Source: RNAcentral